ACAUCUUUAAAAUGAGACUUGAUGUUCCUACAUUAUCCUUUUAGGACAUGAUUUUAUCUACAAUCUUUAAAAAGAGAGAAGAUAUGCGGAACUGUUCCUUAUGAACAGUAGGAGAGUGUCCUUCCGCAAUUACCCUCGGCUUGGGAUGCUAUUCGCGGUCUUGCCACUGAACCUUGACUCUUCCGUUCUUUGUUUUUCCUGAUUUUACUCUCAUCCUCUUAUUUUGUUGUUUGAGAACACUAGAAGCAUACUCUCAGUGAGCCUCCUCCAUGGAAGCGUACCUCUGAGUUCUCCAUUUUUGCGGCUUCUGGUAUGUCUAUCUAUUUUCCGUCGACACCGCUACUGAGGUAAAGAUAUUUUCUGAACUUUGUGUAAUAGUCUCAUAUCAAUUUCACAAUUUAGGGUUUAUUGUUGCUAAACUACAAACAAUAUCUAUUUUAUGCCUUGCUUUAAGGUUUUUUCCCCAUCAAUUUUUUUUUCCAUCAAUCUGGCGCAAAUUAUCCUGCCAAUUUGGGAAGAACUUCGAACCAAAGAACAAGAAAAAUCCCUUAUUUUUAAUCCCUCAUUUUUAGGGAGAGAAAGAGAGGUAAUUAGCUUAGCAAACCUAGGAAAAUGGCGAUUGCUAAUGUUUCAUCUUCAUUGUUUAAGACUCUUCUUAAUCCUAAGAAGAAUGUCUUGGCUGCUAUGCACAAGAGUUAAUAUGGUUUGAGAUCGUUAUGAUCCAAUGGAAGUUCAUGAUAUCAGAGAAGCCGUAUACGACUAUCCUUGAAGCAAUCGCAAAAGCCGCCAAAGAAAAAACGCCGGUAAUAGCGCUAUACAUCUAUCCUUCAUUUUGCGGCGCAUAUUCAGCACUCUUCGCUCAUCCCUUCCACUUUCACCUUCGUCGUCGUUGCCUGUUGCCUUAUUCUUUUGUUUUCCUCCGUCCUCCUUUCAGCUAUGGGAGCUUUCAACGAAUUGAGGAAGCUGGAAUUGUUCUUUAAGGAUGAGAGCAGGCAUGGCUUUUCAGUUUUUGAUCUUAACGAACUUGUUCAACAUGGUAGCAACGUGUUAUCGAGGCUAUAGUUGGAUUGGCAAAUGCAAUGAUGAAACACUGUAAGAGUGUGGAGGGUUUGGGGGAUGUUGUGGAUAUCGUUGGUACCGGUGGUGAUGGUGCCAACACCGUGAAUAUCUCCACCGGUUCCUCUGGUAUUGGCCGCCGUUUGUGGUGCAAAAGUAGCCAAGGCUUGCAGCGUGUUCUGAGCUUAAUCUCCUCCAUUAAAGCAGCUUCUUGAGAUUUUCGCCCUUUUGAUUCAGGCUUUCUUUUUUGUCGAACAAGAAAAAGAGAGAAAAUGCGAUGAUCGGCGGUGGAGGUAAUUGUGGCGGCGAAGUUUUCAGCAUCAGACUGCUGCCAUCUCUGCAACCACUUUUAUUAUAGAUGAAACUUUUAAACUGAUCAUUAAGGUCGUACCCCUUAUCAAGUUACCGUACUAUACCAAAGCACAUUGAGCUACCUGAUUGGGCUAUGGAUGGUAUCCCUAAGAUUGAGCCUGAGAGCAACCUGCAGCACAUUGUCGAGUUAUGCUUAAUUACUCUGCUCCUCAUACUUGGAACUCCAGAACUGAUAUAGAGAAUGAGGGAGACUUGCAAGAUUGCUAGGUAGGUUUUGGAUGCGGCUGCGCGUAUUAUUUGACGAUGCAUUAUAACAAAUGAGAUUGAUCGAGUAGUCCAUGAAGGUACUAUAGCUGCAGGUUUGUGUUGAUUUAUGACGGGAAUUAAAUAAGUUGUACUGUCGUUUGUAUACUCCUCCCCCCCUCUUGGCACUGGAAAGAGCAAGUUUCUCAUAUGUAUUUCUGACCUAUUCUUUUGAAAUCACAUGCAUUUUUAUUUGCUAAUUUUCUGUACAUCGGGAGAUCCAAGGCAGACAUUAAAAUUAGUUAACUGGAUGAUGUAAGAGAAUUUUGACUUGUGAGUAAUUUCACACAAUUGAGGAAAUGAAGCUGUCACUCUUUCCAGUCCAAAUUAGGGGACAUCAUGUUCCUAACUUUUUCAGAUUUUGCAUUCAAUUCUCCACCUAGAUCUUUUUAUUAGCUUUUUGAGUUUUCUCAGGACUCCUCUGCCAUUCUCUUUUCCUAUUCUUGUUUUCUUGUUUGUUCUUCAAUUUUGCGCGAUUUUCAGUCAGAGAUUAGAGAAACAGAUAGAGAAUUUUAUCACUUCUUCUCUAAGGUUUUAGGGGGUGGCGUCAAAGAGGAUUUUUAACGAGCUAUAGGAUUUGAAAAAAGAUCCUCCAACUUCCUGCAGUGCCGUUCUGCCGGUAUACUGUUUUUUAUUUUUUUGGUAAGUAUUUUUUUAUUGGCUUCAAUUGUUAAACCAUUUCCAUAACCACCAUUAAUUAGAGUGAGACUCGUGAGAGUAUUAGGAUAAGUUGACUAUUAUUUGUGAAACUUGAGAUGUUAAAAGGGCGAGACACAAUUAAAAGGGGUUUUGCAAAAGUCGCUACUUCUUUGUUAAGAUUGGAUAAGGUAGGGAUAACACUCUCUUUGCCAUAAUUGUUAGAAAAAGACCUUAUAAGUAUUAAGGUUUUAGCAUAGAAUCAUAGGUAUACAUAUAUUCGGGAUAUGUUGAGCUCUUUAUAUAAAUGAAUGACUAAUUGAAUGCUUAAUGUGUUUUUUUUUCCCCUUAUGCCUCUUCAUUAUCUUUCUGUGUUUGUGAAGCUCUCAUUUUUCUGAGUUGCAGCAAUUCAUGCUAAAAUUAAUUUGUGAAAGAAUGAAACGGAAAGCAGAUAGUUUCUGUUGCUUUAGUCUCAUUUUUCCAACAAUUCAUAUGGUCAAACUUGAGGGAAGAGACAACUCAGAUCGAGAGUAAUUGAGGCUGUUAAAGCCACCGAGAAAUGUCAGGUAAAGUAAUUUUUAAGCAAGUGUUUUGUUCUUGUAUGUUCUUGUAGAUUGGCAAAGGCCAUGGGUAUUAACAUCAGUUUAACAACUAAUCUACAAGAACAUACAAUAAAAUCAAAAUUUAGGUGGGGGUAAACAAGAACCUUUAAUUUGAAAAUUUUGGAACAUUAAUUAUGUUUAAUUGUGGAAGGGAAACCAAUCUCUCUGAUUGGUAUUAAACUCAUAAGAAAGAAAAACUUAAAUAGUGUUGUGCAUAUAGAUUUGAAAUCAUCUUACCUACAAUGUGAGUUAUUAGCUUCCGUUCAAAGCAAAAUGGUGAGUAUUUUCUCCAAGUUUUUUAGCAGCAAAUCUGGGCACCAAAGAACUCAAAGUCCAAUUGUGAAUGAAAUUAGUUUUCUGGGGUUGCAUGAUUUUCUAAAAUUAGGAACUAUUUGACUAUGAAUUCUGUAUGAAAACUUGGUGUGGAAGUACACCUGAUAUGAUUUGAAGAGGCGAACUAUCUAUUUUAAUUUUCUGUUGUGGUCAGAUGAUUGUGUUAUUUGUUUUACUGUUUUGUUUGACUAUCAAAAGUUGAUUUUGUGGGAUUUCCUUACUGUGUUUGAAUUGGUCAGAUUUUGAAUGUUUCUUUAUGACCUGACUUUCUUAUUAACUUCCUUAGAUCUGCGUGUGAAUUGGGUAGUUAAAUUUUGUUGAUUUUGGGAAAUAUAUCAUACUUUUCAUCUGGAUUUUUUUCAUUUUUACAAGGUUCAUUGUUGACGUGAUUGGUCUGUUUGCUUGGUUUCUGUGCUCUUGAGUUUCCUGGAGAAACAUUACCAGGUUAAGUCAUGUAUCUUUUCAUCUUUGUAGAUCAUUGAGUCUUAUAAUAUCCGAAAUUGUGUCCAAAAUCUUUGUUGGCUGUCAUUAAUUAUGAUUAGAACCCGUUUUUGGUGUUUAGUCUAUGAAUGCUGUUUUUGUGUUAAUGUUUUUUUUUUUUUAUCUUUUCAAAAGAGUUUAUGGUUCUUGAUUUAGGCUUUUGGUAAAGGUCGUUAUUAUCGUUUUAGAAUAUUAGAGUUUCUGGUUAUCUGGAAGUUAUAGAUUAAUUUGUACAUUUGUGUCAAAAGUUGUUUAUGUAUUUUUCCAAUUUGAUUUCUUAAUUGUAACCUUUUUGUACAGUUGUGAAGAUAAGACCACUUAUGAAAUAUUGGGCAUAUUUACUAAAUUUUGAAAGAUUUACCAAGUGGAUUUGUAGAUUAAUAUUGGGCAUAUUUACUAAAUUAUGAAAGAUUUACCAAGUGGAUUUGUAGAUUAAAUUUGUUCGUUUCAUCUCAUCUUUUGACAAAAUGCUGCUUGUUUAUGAUAUUAAUGCUUUUUAUUUGUAGCCACUAUACUAAUACAAAACAUUAUUAACUGAGUAUGUUUUGUUUAUUAGUCGAGUCGGUGAAUCUUGGUGAAUGGUGGUAGUUAAUUUGUAUUGUUUUGUAUUAUUAUAAUGGGUGCAUCUAUAAUGAUAGUAUUGGUAUGUUUAGGUAUGAAUAGGCUAAACCUUAGAAAUUGCUUGUUGAAUAUGAAGAAACUUGUAGAAUUAGAUAGUUUGAUUAGAAGAAUCUAUGAAAUUAGGGAAUCUCAUUGUUCUCUUGAGCAAUUAAGCAUUAGUCCUACGAGUAUGAAUUAGACAAGGACUGAUCAUUUGGUUCGAUGUCUCAUUGUCCGGCAAUAAUUGAGCUAUGUGAUUACAAGAGCUGAAGCAAUGGUUGCUGUUUUUUAGGCCACUUCUUCAUAUGAUUUGUUCAAGUAGGUCCUUUGAGAUCUCAAUAGCAUAUAUACUUGUAGAUUUCAUCAUUGGAUCACUACUAUAAAUUUUGUUUAAACAGUGAACUCUAGACUCUGCCAUAGGUUAUAGUCAUCAAGGCGCACUGAUGGUGGUGUUCAUAUUGUGUAUUUUCUGGUGUGGAUAAGUUGUUGGCUUUAGGCUUAUAGUAGAUCAACAGAAGUAGGAUGGUAGCUUGAGCUUGAGCUUGCAGCAUAGCUACAUGGAGAUAUUUCAUCUUACUUGAAGGGAGAACUGGAAGAAUGAGAGAAUGACAGUGCUAUAUGAUCUUAGUCAAUAUAGAAGUAAAGGUUAUACAGAAUUAUAGAGUACAAUUUCCUUCAACCUUUUUUUCCUUUUUAUGGUGCUUUCUUUCUACCGUGCUAAAAUAAGUAGUAUUGCAUUUGUUUACUUGAUUUUUACCUUUAUAAUUCUAGAAUCCCGUGGCUAGCUGAAAAUUUAGUAAUUCAUUCCUUCCAUUUUACGACGUUCUUGUUACCAGUAGAAAGAGAUCAUUUUUUGCUUUUGUCUGUUCAUAUCAUUUCAGAAGAGGAAGGGAAAGAUUUAUCGAGUUCAAAAUCAGUAUGCCAAGCUGCUGCUGCUAGAGGACGUGAGCAGUCAUUCCAGGAUAAGCUCUUGAAAGAGAAAAAUGAAUCCUAGGAGCAACCAGAGAAACCAAUACAACAGUGCAAUAAACUUAGGUGAAUUUAGGGAUUAAAAUAAAAAAAAAAAUUUGAAUUUUUGUUUUGACUUGGUUGAGAUGACUUAAUUUGUAAUUGAAAAUCAAAAAUAGAUGAGAAAUUUUUACAAGGUAUAAAAUAACCUUGAUACUAUUGAAACUGUA
Chenopodium quinoa (quinoa) is the source of this 5500-nucleotide long non-coding RNA. RefSeq lists it as uncharacterized. The transcript has 11 exons. The record is from RefSeq and is a predicted model, not a curated record. NCBI's taxonomy places the organism in Eukaryota, Viridiplantae, Streptophyta, Magnoliopsida, Caryophyllales, Amaranthaceae.